CUAUAAAUACCCUUAUUUACAUGUAAUUUGGGAGACAGAUUCAACAGAGAUUUCUCAGAUUCAACAGAGAUUUCUCUCAUUAUUUUCACUCUUGUGUAUGGAGUGUGUUUCUAUUUUAGUUUCAUGCUGCGUCAGUUGAACAGUGAAAACACAAACGGUUGUCAAAAGAACAAUAAAUAGAAUGCAAGAUUUUUCACUACUCUUCAAGAUGGGAAAAAUAAAAGAUAAAAGUGGACAAAAGGUAGCGUGCGACAAUUUCUUUUGUAGAUUGCAUAUAAUGAAUUCAACCACUUUAAGAUGUGAAGCCCGUUCAUUUUUCCUGCUUUUAACAAAUAAACUCAUUCAAUUUCAUUUGUGUGAAAUGCGAAUCCCAUUUAUUUGUUGAUAGAAAUUUAUUCAGGCAUAUAAAAUGCCAAAAGAAAUAUUGCUUUUUCUUACCAUGGGAGAAUACACGCGAGUUAAAAUGCCCUUCCUCAAGAGUUUCGAUUUUAGGUCUUUAUCACCCCACA
RNAcentral lists this unclassified non-coding RNA (509 nucleotides) under Hevea brasiliensis (rubber tree). Lineage: Eukaryota; Viridiplantae; Streptophyta; Magnoliopsida; Malpighiales; Euphorbiaceae. The record is from RNAcentral.